GACCAAUUGAAUUGUGAUAUAAUAAAUUGGAACAUUACAGAGAUAGCAUGGCCAUGCGCAACGUGACACGCAAAAUCGUGAAGGUCUCCACAUUUUU
Molecule: small nuclear RNA, 97 nt
Filed under: Cimex lectularius (bed bug)
Lineage: Eukaryota; Metazoa; Arthropoda; Insecta; Hemiptera; Cimicidae
Source: RNAcentral